This 489-nucleotide ribosomal RNA is filed under the name uncultured bacterium. RNAcentral describes it as "partial 16S ribosomal RNA". It matches the Rfam family "Bacterial small subunit ribosomal RNA", at positions 30 to 507 of the family's 1533-position model. The record is from RNAcentral.
AUUGAACGCUGGCGGCAUGCCUUACACAUGCAAGUCGAACGGCAGCAUGAUCUAGCUUGCUAGAUUGAUGGCGAGUGGCGAACGGGUGAGUAAUACAUCUGAACGUGCCCUGUAGUGGGGGAUAACUAGUCGAAAGAUUAGCUAAUACCGCAUACGACCUGAGGGUGAAAGUGGGGGACCGCAAGGCCUCAUGCUAUAGGAGCGGCCGAUGUCUGAUUAGCUAGUUGGUGAGGUAAAGGCUCACCAAGGCGACGAUCAGUAGCUGGUCUGAGAGGACGAUCAGCCACACUGGGACUGAGACACGGCCCAGACUCCUACGGGAGGCAGCAGUGGGGAAUUUUGGACAAUGGGCGAAAGCCUGAUCCAGCAAUGCGGCGUGGGUGAAGAAGGCCUUCGGGUUGUAAAGCACUUUUGUCCGGAAAGAAAUGGCUCUGGUUAAUACCUGGGGUCGAUGACGGUACCGGAAGAAUAAGACCGGCUAACUACGUG